GACGAACGCUGGCGGCGUGCUUAACACAUGCAAGUCGUACGGUAAGGCCCUUUCGGGGGUACACGAGUGGCGAACGGGUGAGUAACGCGUGAGUAACCUGCCCUUGACUUUGGGAUAACUUCAGGAAACUGGGGCUAAUACCGGAUAGGAGCUCCUGCUGCAUGGUGGGGGUUGGAAAGUUUCGGCGGUUGGGGAUGGACUCGCGGCUUAUCAGCUUGUUGGUGGGGUAGUGGCUUACCAAGGCUUUGACGGGUAGCCGGCCUGAGAGGGUGACCGGCCACAUUGGGACUGAGAUACGGCCCAGACUCCUACGGGAGGCAGCAGUGGGGAAUAUUGCACAAUGGGCGGAAGCCUGAUGCAGCAACGCCGCGUGCGGGAUGACGGCCUUCGGGUUGUAAACCGCUUUCGCCUGUGACGAAGCGUGAGUGACGGUAAUGGGUAAAGAAGCACCGGCUAACUACGUG
RNAcentral lists this ribosomal RNA (464 nucleotides) under uncultured bacterium. Its description in RNAcentral is "partial 16S ribosomal RNA". It matches the Rfam family "Bacterial small subunit ribosomal RNA", at positions 28 to 507 of the family's 1533-position model. The record is from RNAcentral.